This 471-nucleotide ribosomal RNA is filed under the name Pseudomonas sp. SA012. Its description in RNAcentral is "bacterial SSU rRNA". It matches the Rfam family "Bacterial small subunit ribosomal RNA", at positions 290 to 753 of the family's 1533-position model. The record is from RNAcentral. Lineage: Bacteria; Pseudomonadati; Pseudomonadota; Gammaproteobacteria; Pseudomonadales; Pseudomonadaceae.
GUCUGAGAGGAUGAUCAGUCACACUGGAACUGAGACACGGUCCAGACUCCUACGGGAGGCAGCAGUGGGGAAUAUUGGACAAUGGGCGAAAGCCUGAUCCAGCCAUGCCGCGUGUGUGAAGAAGGUCUUCGGAUUGUAAAGCACUUUAAGUUGGGAGGAAGGGCAGUAACUUAAUACGUUGCUGUUUUGACGUUACCGACAGAAUAAGCACCGGCUAACUCUGUGCCAGCAGCCGCGGUAAUACAGAGGGUGCAAGCGUUAAUCGGAAUUACUGGGCGUAAAGCGCGCGUAGGUGGUUUGUUAAGUUGGAUGUGAAAGCCCCGGGCUCAACCUGGGAACUGCAUUCAAAACUGACAAGCUAGAGUAUGGUAGAGGGUGGUGGAAUUUCCUGUGUAGCGGUGAAAUGCGUAGAUAUAGGAAGGAACACCAGUGGCGAAGGCGACCACCUGGACUGAUACUGACACUGAGGUG